This is a long non-coding RNA of Musca domestica (house fly), 508 nucleotides long. RefSeq lists it as uncharacterized. NCBI's taxonomy places the organism in Eukaryota, Metazoa, Arthropoda, Insecta, Diptera, Muscidae. The transcript is spliced from 3 exons. The record is from RefSeq and is a predicted model, not a curated record.
AGGAAAAAAAAAAAUCAAAACAAUUGUUUUGUAACGAAAUAUGUCUUUUCGAAUUUCUUGAGGGAGUAAAUCAAAAAAGGAAAUGUGUAAUACGAAAAUUUGCUAAAUGAGAUCCUCCCAAUUAAAUCUUAGCGAAUCAGAACGUUCCUGACCUUAGUACUUCCUAAUUGACCAGAUACCAGGAACUCCACAUCAUUGCUUAAUCCAAUCAUUUUUUGUUUUUGCAACCUAAAACGGUCAAUUAACCACACAUAUCUACGUCUGUUCAAAACAGUUCGGAGUACGGAAAUUGUAACAUAAAUUCAAGGAGUUAUGCUCUUCAAACUCUCCAACUCUUAACAAGAUGAUUUAAAAAGGGAUUUUUUCAUUAGUGGUUUAAUGAAAUGGUCAAUCGAAGCAAGGCAAUGUUAUAAUUUAAUUAAAUCAAAUGAAAUGUUGUUACAAUGUGAAACAAGUCACGCUUUUAACCUCCUUUAUGUAAUAACUAGCUGAACCCCGUGCGCUUCGC